RNAcentral lists this long non-coding RNA (335 nucleotides) under Homo sapiens (human). RNAcentral's name for it is "HSALNT0374142". The record is from RNAcentral. Lineage: Eukaryota; Metazoa; Chordata; Mammalia; Primates; Hominidae.
CAGAAAUGAAGUAAAGGCAUUUGGAAGGAGGAGUGAAGCAGAAUUGUUCCAAUCAUUGGGGAUUCAGCAGUGAACAAAACAGACACAAUUCCUUGGUUUCAAGAUACCUGCAUUCUGAUAAAACGUGUGAGACGAUAAUAACCAAGGUUGUGUCACACCUUUUCCUGAACUUUGGCUCAAUUGAAGAAGGAAACUUUCAGGGGAAUUCCAAUAGUAAACAACAGAACCAGCAGUUUUACAAUAAACUGCAGAGCUCCAUUUCAAAACACAAAAAUAGAGCGUCUCUGCAGUGAUGUACUGCCUUAAGGAAGGGUCUUCUCUGUAGUCCUGGAAAU